RNAcentral lists this long non-coding RNA (29628 nucleotides) under Lathyrus oleraceus (garden pea). RNAcentral's name for it is "Pisum sativum (pea) long non-coding RNA (PSAT_LNC021945)". Lineage: Eukaryota; Viridiplantae; Streptophyta; Magnoliopsida; Fabales; Fabaceae. The record is from RNAcentral.
AAUUAUAUUGGAUUUUUUUACAAGAUUCUUCCAAACAGAACUGCACAUAAUUUUUAUCUCUAGAAAUUGAUCCAGAGACAUUGGAACUAUUUGUUUAAAAUUCAUAAUGAAAUUUUAGCAGACAAAUCAAAGAAAAUAUUUUGGUUGAAGUCUAAUUCAACAUGCAUUAAAUCAUGUGAAUUUUCAUCUUAAAAAUUCAUUGCAACAAAUCUACGAAGAUAAUACUCCAUGCAUUACCAGAAACACGACACCGAUACUGAUACGUCAAUGUCGGUGUCAGUUUCAGACUCCGAUAGUGACACGACACACUUUUUUUUAGAGGUGUCGGUGCUAGAGAGGGAUCCACGUGUCCAGGUCCAAAGCAUCUCAGGGAACUCAGUCCAAAGACGAUAAUUCUCUAUCAAGCAAAAUUUCAAAAUUCAUGCCACUCUUUUGGAUGCUAACAAUGGUAGUAAUACUUUAUAGAGCCCGCAUUUCUAAACUAGUAUGCUCACUGUUGUUAGCAGCGGAGGAGGACGAGGAUUCGGCACUUUUCUUUUCACGACUAGACUUCAUUUCUUGAAUCGGGGGAGCGUUUACGAGGGUCGUUUCCGAGGAAAUACUUUCCGAGAGGCGUCCCUUCAUUUCCCUGUGCUCUUGACACAAGGCACACCAGUGCAGAAAGCAGUGGACACAACAAGGAUCAGCAGGAGAAUUCUGAAGUCAUCAAAAAAGUUACAUGUAAUAGUUAAUAUCGGCCGAUAUUGCAGGUUUUUCUGCUAUUAUCCGCUAUAACAGCGGCACAAAGCGGACGGUAUGGCAAGAUUUUGGGUCUCCGCCAUCGACAGCACUGCCGUCGGUAAUACUCGGAAACAAUAUUUACUAGAACAAAUGAAGAAGAAAUACAACACAUACCUCUAAGUGAUAAUUCUUCUGCAAAGUUUGUCGAACCUGACCGGUGUAUAUGCCACACAUCCACCAAGUAAAAAACAAACCCUCCACAAUGAGAAAUGAUGUUCCUGGAUCAAUCAUACCAUUAAAGAUAGCAGUUGCUGUAGCCAGAGCGAUCCCACCCUCGAUAAAAAUGGCAUGACAAACGCAUGGUGCAUUCCAAGAAGCGUCGUCGUACAAGCUUUCUACAUUGCGGCCAAAUAAAACACAGGGACAAAACAGUCCUGUCAAACCUGCAAUUAAGGUCGAACGAACGGUAACAAAAGGAAGCGAUUUCUUGCUUAGUCAUCAAAGCAACGAAUACUACUAAUACAAAUUCAAAUGACUAGUCCAAUAUUAAAUAAUCAUAUUACAAUCUGAUUCGGGCAAAUUUUGACGGUUUCGUCAUGCAUUAACUUACAACUAUCUCUAUCUUCAGCACAUCCACAGAUCCCAGUCAUCCAAGGCUCAUCAGCAGGAGGUGCAUAGCUUUCUGGAAGUGCCUGUCCACAUUCCAUGCACUUCGGAACCGCCAACUGCGAAGUAUUACAGAAAUUAACCGACUGCUCGCUUACUAACUAAAGGAGCACAAUCACACUUUCUCUCAUCUAUCAGUUUCAUACAAACACAGAUUCAUACAAACAAUAAGAGCUACAUUCGUUGACAUCCAAACAAUAAAACCAGCAAUUAAACCGUACAAAUCAAUUACCUGUAACACUUGUCUGAAUUGUUCGACACGUAUUGUAUCAGUCCUAAGGGUCCGGGUGUCGGUCAACGAUUCAAAAAUUUUGAAGCAAAGAAAAAAAAACAUUCUUUUAAGAUAUUUGUUCGACUUUUCAAACACUGUUGUACAGGUGUAAUAGAAGUGCCGAACACCGACGCGUGUGGAGCAACGCAACACGCCUAAUCCUAGAGGUGUCUUUGCUUCAUAGAAUGUAGUGUUAUUACCCAACAAAGUCCCAAGUGACCGAUUCCAAACACACAAAAAAACAUAGGCAAAUCAAAUGUACAAUAAAUCAUAUACAAACUAUGCCCAUUAAUUCAUGCUCCCACUUAUAUUUGUAACCACACUAUUUAGGAUUUUUUUGCCUCUAAGUCAAUUCAACACAUUGUUACCGCAAUGUCGCACACGGACACUUCAAAUUGAAGGCAGAUCCGGUGUACAAAACACCAGGGACACUGACACACGUCUGUUAUAAUCAGUGUCAUGUCAGGUGUCUGUGUUUGUGUUCGUGUCAGUGUUUCAAGUUGCAUACUCCAAUGUAAUUCACUAAACAUUCUAGAAAUGAAUAAUGAAAAAAACAUGAAAAAAACAUGAAAUUCAAACCUGAGGAACCUCAAUUGGCUGAUUAAGUUCACCAGGGUUGAUAUCUUCAUGAGGUGUCUGAUCUUUAGUCAGCUUCACGUAACGGCUCCGUUCCUCCAUCUGAUCUCUCACACAAACCAAACCCAAAAGACAAAAUGAAAUCAACAAUGGAAUGAAAUGAAUCACAGAAAACUUAGUUUAGAUCUAAAUGAAUACUAGGUUGCAGUGUGGUGGUGGGUCACCUUUGAUCACAGAUUCUAAUGGAAAAUUAAGAUCUGAAAAUGAAGUUUCAAAGUUGGGACAUGGCGUACUAGGAACGGUACGAGAAAAAAAAUCAUUGAAUAUGAACAAAGUUUGUCGAAAAAAAUCAUUGAAUAUCUUUUUUUUUUGGAAAUUAAUAUUUUUUUGGUACAAAGAACAAUUACUAAUUUAAUAAUAUGAUUUUUUAAAUUGUUUAAUUAAAAAUAUUUCAAAAAUAAAGAAUUAUGUUGAAAGUAAUAAAAUUAUAUUCCGAAAAUGGAAAAAAAACUGAAAAACAAAAAUCAAAAUAAAAAAAAUCAAAAAAAUCUGAAAAACAAAAAAUAAUUUAUAUUCUGAAAUUAUAAAAUAUAAUUUUUUUUGAAAAUAAAAAUUAUUUUUUUAUUCUAAAAAUUUGAAAAAAUAAACAGUUUUGAAAAUUAAAAAAAAUCCUGAACAAAAAAAUUAUUUAAAAAAUUUUUUUUUACUAAAAAAAAAAAUUAUUUAGGAAAAAAAUUUCUAAAUACAAUUCUUUCGAAAAAGAACUCCGAAUAUAAUUUUUUCGUAAAUAGAAAAAAAAAGAUUCUAAAUAUUUUUUUAAAAUUAUUUUUUAUGAAAUUUAAAAAAAAAUUAAAAGAAUUUAAAAUAUAAAUUUGAUAUACAAAUAAAAAUUCAACACAUAAUAAAAUUUGGAUACCUAAUAACUAAACUAAAUUAUUAUUAUGAGUAUCGGUUUAUAUUUGGAUAAUAAAAUGGAUACUCACAUUUAUAUUUUAGCAUUUUGUUUGAAUUUUUAAAAGUAAAAUAAUUUGAAUACCAAUUUGAUUAAGAAUAAUCGAUUUUUUUUAUUAUAUCACUCAUUUUUAAUUAUAUAUUAUUAUUUUAUAUUUAAUUUUUUUUAAUAAUAUAUACUAUAAAAACAAUUAAUUAGGUGCAAUGAAAAUAUAUAUGUAAUAAUUGUUAUCACAUGAGAUUAUUGACCCUUUCUUUUGAGUUAUCUUCAAGUGAGCUAAUACAUUCCUUAGCCAAACUUCUUGGAAAAAACAUGAAGCAAGGAUCACACGUUCUACUUCUGUGCUAGACAAUGUGACUAUUGGUUGUUUCAUUAAGGAUCAAAUUGGUUGUUUCAUUAAGGAUCAAAAUAUUGAACCAAGGUCAAUCUUGAAUACAUAUCCUAAAGUGUUUUUUCUAUCAUCAUUAUCAUCUCAGAGUAAGUCCAUCCCAGCAAUUGAAGACCAUUUAUGCAUUUAUGUUUGUACAAGAUGCCAAGAUCCAAUGUGCCUUGUAGGUGCCUUGGGAUUCUUUUAAUAGUUGCUACAUGCAUUUCAGUAGGUACCUUAAGAAGUACAAAGGGGUUAGUUGUCCAAAAACUCAUUUGACAAUAUUAAUUCGGAAGAUGGUCGCGUACGCUCAUGAUGAAAAGUUUCUCAUCCACUAUUUCAAGAUAGUCUUAGUGGGGAAUCAUUGGCAACUAUUUAAUCCCAACAACUAUUUAAUCCCAGGUGUCAUAUGGCCAACAUCCACAUGUAGCAACUAUUUAAUCCCAGCAACCACAACUUCUUGGUCCUCAAUACCAACAACCGUGGGUCGUUCCUCAUGCAAAUCAACAAGCCUAGGGCAGUAAAUAUCAAAAUCAGCAUCAAAGCCAGUGCAUACAUUGAAAUAAUAUGGAAAUAAGGAAUGCUCUAUUGGAUCCAAUUCCUAUGACCUACAUUCAACUUCUGCCACAUCUGGUUCAAAGCUUGUUAGUGGUUCCCAAAUUUAUUAAGCCACAACCACAACAUUCUCGCCUGGGUAUGAUCCCAAUGUGCAAUCUGGAUAUCAUGCUGGAUCAACAGAGUGCUUGACCGAGGAUUGUAACACUUUCAAAGCUAAAGUACAACUGUUGAUUGACAAGAACUACUUGACCCUUCAAGGAGGAAACCUGAUGGUGAACGGAAACCCCAUACUCGAGUGAGUGUCAAGACUACGAGAAGCAUCCUCUGAAGACGAUGAAUCAGACGAAAAGCUUAUUCUUAUAGUUGAUAAUAAUUAUGUUGUCUUUAUCAUUUCCAUUUGCAAUUUCUUUGAUUGUUAAAGUACUAUUUUCUUUGGAGUUUAUUGUUUUUAAAUGGUAAUAUUAAUGAAAUAAGCAUGCAUGUUUUGAAUCAAUCAGUUCGUAUUCACUCUGCACAUAUUCAUUCUUUCCUUUUUCACAAAAAAAAAAGAAAUAUCAAUAUUUCUCCGCUUCACGUUUCUUUAUCAAACUUUUGAUUAAACAAAGACUGGACGGAGAAUGGUGAAAACGAAAUACCCAAAAUUAUUGAUAAGUAUGCUUUCAAAUAAAACUUUAUUGAUGAUAUAAGACAUUGUUUCAAUUCCUAAACACCGAAGAUAUGAGGAAGCUAAUCCCUCGUUAACUCCUUUGAGCCUAGAAGCUGGUGUUUUUUUCUAUAUGAAAAAAAACCUUAAUUUGAACCAGGGGCAGAGUAGUUGUUCAGUUAAUUUGGCUAUGCAUUCAAAUUUAAAAAAAAAACCAUCAAAUUUGAGGUUCAACUGCAUCCUCUCUUCGCACACAAUGUCGAAGAAGUAGUGAGAACCCAAAAGCUCUCAGCGGUUGUUUCUCUUAAACCAUUAAAACUUGGCAGUCACAACCCUUUCAAUAAAAACCAAGUGAACAAAUGUCAUACAAUUUGUUCCCAUAAAUAAAUAAAUAAAAUGGGAAAAAGAAAGCCAUUUAAGUCGAAUAUGUGGAUUCUCGGGGAUCCGUUCUGACUUUUCACCAAUUACUCAAUAUAAGGAAUUUGGUUUAUGAGCAUUCAUGGAUGAUCUUACACUAGUGUCAUCAAAUAUUUUAUUAGUGACUCUCUAUUAACUAUCACUUCGAGAAUGUCUCUCUAAGAUUGGUUCAUUGGUUCAUGUGAUGAAGUAGAAAGUGUCUUGUUGACGAGGUGAGUAUUACUUUUUUUUUCCUGGGUUUGUUUGAGGAAAAUGUUUGGGUUUUUAUCUAAAGGAAAGGAAAUAAAAAACGCAUCGGGUGUGCCAUUAAUCUUAAUUAGACCAAGAAGAAUGGUUCCUUAGGAAAACCAAUGGAGAAACAACUAUGUGGGUUGAUUAGGCGAAUAGAUCGUAUCUGCAAACAUUUGACGCUCAAGUUGUUGAACAUAUAUGAGAAGUUAUAUAUUCAUGGGAUAUAAUUGUCUGAAUUCCAAACUCUUAUAUAGGUGAUGUGUGGAGACCAAAGUUAUGACUAGAAUCAUAAUCGUUGAGCAAUUAUGUGAUCAUUAACUCGUGUUUGGUUUUUUGUAUGCACAUUUGUUUUCAAUGGACCGAUGGAGGCAAUGAGGAUAUCAAUUCUUUAUAUCUAAUGUUACAGGUUUAUUUCCUGAUGGAUUGGGCUCCAUUCUAGUCCAUAAUAUUUAAAUCAACUAAUAGAAGUUAUUGAGCUGCUUAAUGACACCUUAUCAUCAUGUAAUUUUAGUAAGAAUUUUCAUAUGUUUUUAGCAAUUUUUAGUAUAUUAUGGCUGAGUUUCAUGAAGAAAUAGGAAGAAAGCAAAGAAGUUGAAGAAACAAGGUGAAACUUAGAAAAUAUGAAGAAUUUUUGGGGCAAAAAUAGAAUCAGCCACCGGAAAAAUUGUGUCCUAAAUCAUGGCACGAUGUUGCAUUAAUUACUCAUAUCGUGGCAGGAUCCCACAUUAAUUACUCAGAUCGUGGUACGAUGGAAAGGCACCAUGGCACGAUUUAUGCAUUUUUAUGACGCGUUUAAAAGCCAAAAAUGCAAGUUUUACAAGGCGGCAUUCGGGUACGAUUUUUGAUGUAGUUUUGAUGGCGGAAGAACACAUUGGAGUUUCUGAAUGAAGGAUUUUCAUCAUUUGAAGACCAAUUUCUUAUCGAAAAAUCAUGUAUCAUUUCUAUAUCUCUAUUGUAUGUAUUAUGCUACCAUGAGUUUCUGAUUUCUCUUUUGAUUAUGUUUUAGGAGAUAACCUUUUGUUUGAUCUAUUGAGACAUAUGAUCUGUUUAUGUAUUAUUUGCUUAAAUUGAUAUUGCAUGUUUAUUUAGUUAUUUUCUUGUGCAUUGCUUAUUUGUUUUGCAUGUGUUGACGAGCACAUAGAUUGAAUAUAGGAUUUUAGGGAUUAUUGACCUUAACCCUAUGCAUGAUCUACAUUAAUUGUUCGUCGUAGUAAUUGAUUUAGAAUAAACAAUUCAAAGUCGUGACUUGUGAAUUAACGUACUAUUUUUUCCUAAUUUAACUUUGAACAUGCCCAAAGAGUUAGGGAGUUGUCUUAUAAGUUAAUGAGUUAUACAUAAGAGAUUGGGUAUAACAGUUGUGUUAGAUAGAUAGUUGUUUUCAUGCGAGAUUAAUUUAAAAGCAAAUAAACGUCGUCAUCAGCAGUGAGAUUUAAGAGAUUCAAAUAAAAUGUAAUCACAUUUUAAUCUAAUAUUUUCUAAUACUUAUUUACCCUUUAUUUUAACUCAAAACAUUCGGGCACCCCAAUUGUUACCUUCAUGUUACAAUUGUUUUGUUAAAAUACAAUAAUUUUUGUUAUUUGUAACGUAUUUUUAGUACAUUUGCUAAAAAUCCAACACAUGCCAAAUUUUUUACCCAAAUAAUCACAUUUCCCAACUCUAAUUCCAAACUAACCAUUUUCCCCUCAUUAUUUUCAAUCUACCCAUCUUUCAAACAAAUAAAAAAUCUAACUUGUACAAGGGGUGCCAAUAGAAAUAAACCCCCUCUUGAAAUUGUAAGGGGGUGCAAAUUGAAAGAAAGCCCCUCCCUCACUACUACAAAAUAUACCUUUGAAAACACCGUAUCACAAUGGCCGUUUAAAAAAUCAUAGUAGUAUCUCAUUUUUGUUCGCCUGAAUUUUUUAUUAUUUUAUUGAAAUACAUUUCAUCACGGUCCUUAAUAACAACCGUUGUGAUAAAUAAAAGGUCACUUGUUUCGAUUCUCAUAACCAACAUUUUUUAAAAAAAAUUCGUUACAAAAAAGGUUUGUCAUUAUAGUCUAAUAAAUAUAUUAAAAUAAUACUCACGCUUUAUUAUGGAUUUUGUUAACAACCGUGGUGAUAAGUUUUACAUAUAUAUAUAUAUAAGCGAAGUUAUCAAACUUUUUUGCACAAAAUAGUCUUCACUCUCAAAACAAAACCCUAACAUUUCCCUCUUCCACAGGAAGCGAACUCGUCCUCAUUAGCUUCUUCCUCUCAACAUGAACCAAAAUUUUGAAGAUUUAUCUAACCAAUCUAGUGGGAGCAUACCUAUCAAAGAAAUUGAGUUUCCUAAGGAUGUUGGUGAUAUGAUUGAUUCUUAGUUAAAUAAGGCCAAGGAAGUAGUAGAUGUUAGGAAUAACAUCACCAUUGUUGAACCUUCUGGUGGGACACCUGGAACUAAGAAGAUAACGAUCACCAAUUUGAAUCCUGAGAAAAUAAGAAAGAUAGAAGUUGUUGUUGAAGAGCUAAUGAAAUUAAGUGAUACCAAGUCAAAUGAAUAUUGGGAUAACUUCUUAGAUUCAAUUAGGCAUGAAGUUUGCAGACUUCAUUGAUAAAGAGAGCUUCUGGUCCUGAAGAUUUAAGUUUUUCUUUCAGUUUAAUGACCCUUGUAUCUGAAUAUAUUUUAUUUAUAUUUAUAAAGGCUCUAUAGCCUCAUUGAAAUUAUGUACAAUAACAAAUCUAAUGCUAGUUUUUCUUCUCAUAUUUUGGUUGUAUAUGAGCUAAGAUACUAAGGACUUGAUAACAACCGCCUGAGUUUUAUUUUAUUGAAAUACAUUUUAUCACAGAUCUUUAUAACAACUGUUGUGAAAGACAUUUUAUUAUUUUAUAUGUUAUUGAAAUAUAUUAAUAUUAAAAUGCCUAUUACCACUAUUAUUAUAAGAAAAUGCUGUGAAUAGUACUUACAUUUUAUUACGAGUUUUGUUAACAGUCGUGGUGAUAAGUUAUACACACAUAUAUAAGUGAAGUUAUCAAGCUUUCGCCUAGAAUAGUCAUCACUCUCUAAACAAAACCCUAACAUCUCUCUCUUCCACAUGCAACGAACUCGUCCUCAUAAGCUUCUCCAUACUAAAAGAUACUCAAGUUCAUACAUUUUAUCAAUCUUCUUCUUCUUCAUAAGCUUCCUUUCGUGUUAUUCAUACACUUUCUUCCAUUUUUCUGUGCAUAGGUUCUUCCAUUUUUCUUUGUUUUUCAUACGUUUUUAUUUGGCAUGAUUUUUGUGUUUUCAUUUGGCAGAAAGCUUAGGGUUUAUGAUUUCCAUUUUGCAUGAAUUUCGUGUUUUUUGGUUAUCUCUACUUGAGUCUCUGUUAUUGAAAUGGAUCUCAAUUACCAUAUAUGUUACAUGUAUGACACUAGUUCUUAAAAAUCUAUAUUCAAUAGAGAUAUCAGUGUAUUAGACAUUACUUAGGUUUCCAUUUAUGUUAACUUUGUUGUUAAUGUCAUGCUAGUUUAUGUUUCCAAAUCAGGUUAUCAUGUUGUUUGUAGGAUUACAAUCGCAUGCCAAUUUAUGUUUUCAAAUUGGGUUAAUAUGAUAAUAUACAUUUUGACUUGUAGGUGUGAUUCACAAAUUGUUUGUGUUGCAAUGAAGAAAAAAUACAAGGAGGACGAAGGUAAUGUGAAAGCGACAUACUUGUGUGAAAUACCUAGAUCGAUGGGCACAAGUUUGCCGCUCUCACUUCAGCUUCAUCCUUCUUUUAUUGUGGAUUCCGUUCUGAGACAAGUAGAUCAUUUAUUUGUCUUCAUUCGCCACGAAUGUUUCCAAUAAAAGGUAUGUUUCUGAAACAUUUAUGAGUUGAUAUGUUAUUGUUGUUCAAAAUGUUUGCCUUGUUUUUCAAUAUCAGUCGAGUUUAUUAUAUCAUAUAUAGAUUACUUGUUUCACUAACCCCUCACUAAACAUGCAUUCAUUUAAAUUGAUUUAGAAAAUGAUAUUCUGAAAAUUAUGUUAUAUUUGAAAAUCAACUUAGAUGCAUCAAUAUUUUUCGAAUUUCAUGCAUCUUGUAAUUCAUCUCUGGUUCUUUAACAUAUAGAAUUUGGUUCAACGCCCCAAGUUCUUCUAAGCAACGGUUCAUUUUCUUCUAUUUAUAUUGCAAAACAUCAAAUUUGUUGAGAAAUUUUGAAUCAUCUUCAUCAUUGUCCUCAUAAUAAUCAUCAUCCUCGAUUAAAAUAAUGAUGAUGAUGACUCGAAAUUAGUCAAUAAAUUGAUGCUUUGCCAAAUAAACUAUAAGAGAAUAAACAUUGCUUUGAGGAACUUAGGGUAUUGAACCAAAUUCUAUAUGUUAAAGAGGGAGAGAUGAAUUAUAAUAUGCAUGCAAUUCGAAAAACAGUGGAGCGUCUAAGUUAUUUUUCAAGAAUAAUUUAAUUUUUCAGAUUAUUAUCUUCUAAAUUAAUUUGAAUGGUUCUAUAUGUUUAUUGAGGAUAAGGAAAAAUAAGCAAUCCACAUAUUAUAUAAUAAACUCAUAUAUAUACCACCACGGUGGAAAUAUAUAAUCGUAGUAAAAUGUUAAAUUUAUUCACGCUUUAAUUAAAUUGUUGUUGCUGGGUUUCGAACUCAUACAUAUAUAUAUAUAUAUAUUAUAUAUUAUAAUAAUAUUAUAUAUAUAUAUAUAUAUUAUAUAUAUAUAUUAUAUAUAUAUAUAUAUAUAUAUAUAUCACAACGGUUAUUUAAUAUAAUCGUUGUGAUAGCUAGCACCCUAUCUAGUUUAUCACAACGAUUAGACGUCCGUGGUGAAAAAGACCAUACAUAUAAACACCCUUUACCUUGCAACGGUUGAUUAGUCGUGAUGAUAUGCAUAUUCCAACUGUUUUGAGAGAGAUUUAUUGUAGUAUGUCUUGAAUUUAUAAGAGUGCGACACCAAUAGAAGGAAAACUCCCUCUUAUUGAAUUAUUUAUUUAAUUUUUAAUAAUAUAUUACAAGGAUGCGUCAAUUGGAGGAAAACCCCGUUUAUCUUGUUCUACGGAGACGCUAGUAGGAAUAUCGUCUUUUUUAUAAGUUGAUUAUUUUUAUUUGAAAAAUGAAUAGAAUGAAAAUAAUAGAGAAUGGUGGUUAAUUUAGAAUUAAAAUUAGAAAUAUGGUUAUUUGGUAAUAAACUCACACAUACAAACUAAAUUUAUAAAAAUCUAUCACCCUAAAAUGUGGUAUGAUGUCAUAUCUUAAGUCCUUAUGCAUUUAUUGCUUGUCACAAUAUUCAAAUUGGGAGUGACAACCCAACUAAUUGGUGUACAAAGAUUAUUUCAAAGUCAACAAGUCAACUCCAAUGUUUCCAACCAAGAAAAAGCAUAUUGGAGUAUCAUUUGGUGUUAGACUUAGACUUUUAAAUGCAUAAUAAUCUCUUCUUCCAUAAUCACCACUCACUCUAACUAAGUUUAUAUUUAAACAUAUCUUCCUUUCUUGUUCUUCAUCAUGUUCUAACACUCUAUUUCAUUCAAUAAUGUCUACACCAGCAGAGUACUACCGGUCUCUACCACCUGUGAGCAAGACCUAUGGAGUAGCAUGUUUGAUGACCACAGCUGCUUAUUAUCUCAAUCUUUAUGAUGCAAGAAGCAUAGCACUGUUUUAUGGCUUAGUGUUUAAACGCUUUCAGGUUUGUUUGUAAUCCAAAAAUAUUCAUCAUCCUUAAUUAACCAUUGAUCUAUAUUCUAUACCAUUCUAACUUUUCUUUGUUUGUUACAGAUUUGGAGGAUUAUCACAAAUUUCUUCUUUCUUGGACCAUUUUCAUUUCCAUUUGCAGUUCGUCUCAUAAUGAUGUAAAUAUAUUCUUUGACUUAUACAUCUCCGACUGUAUAGCGGUUAUAGUUCUAUAUUACUGAUACCGAAGGAAUUAGGGUUUAUAAUGUUACGAAACUUAUAUAAAUAUUACGUAUAAAUUACCAUAAUAAUGGUUUGAAUAUUGAAUUUUAUAGAGCAAAAUAUGGUGUUUCAUUGGAAAGAGGGCCAUUUGAUAAAAGAACUGCAGAUUAUGUUUGGAUGUUGAUAUUUGGUGCACUCUCACUUCUGGUAUAUAUGUUCCAACAAAUACAGUUUUUAUUUAACUUUUGUACAUUUGUUGAUUUUUUUUAUGUUCCUAUUACUUAGUUUGAUUCUGUUGUUAGGUGAUGAGUGUUGUGCCAUAUUUAUGGUCUCCAUUCAUGGGAGUUUCUUUAGUUUUCAUGAUUGUCUAUGUUUGGAGCCGCGAAUUUCCGAAUGCACGAAUCAACAUUUAUGGUUUAGUAUCAUUGAAGGUAUCAUGAAAUUCUACGAAGCACCGACAUUUCAGACUCUGAAAAAAUGCAUGUUCAUGCAUGUGUCAGACACCAACACUAACACGUGUGAUUGUCUAUUUUUUUCAUUUUUGUUAUGUAGGGUUUUUACCUUCCAUGGGCUAUGCUAGGUCUUGAUUUGAUAUUUGGAAACCCUUUGAAGCCAGACAUUCUAGGAAUGCUUGCAGGACACUUGUAUUACUUCUUAACAGUUCUUCAUCCUCUUGCUGGCGGAAAGUUCAAGUUCAACACUCCUCUUUUAGUGUAUCCUUUUCUUUUAUAUAUCAACUUGCAUUGGUCACAACAAUGAUUAUAACAAAUUUUGUACAUGACAUUUUUUUUGUCGGUAGACGAAUAUAGUAAUAACUACUAAAAAUCCACAUAUAUAACCGUGAAUACUAGAAUUAUAACUCUGAUGAUGACGUCCAACCUAUUGCCAGUUAAAUUAGGAUUUGCGGACUUGUACGUGGCAUAUGCUCUAGGGAAAAAGUUCAUAAUAGUCCUUAACUUAUGUAAACUAGUCACAAAGUAGUGGCAUAUUGGGGAGAAGGUACUCAAAUGAAUGCACCAGUGCAAUCUAAUCCUUCAGCUGGAAUUGUGUUUAGAGGAAGAAGCAAUCGUCUUGGUGGAACUCAAACAACAACGAGAAGCACUUCUCAUGAAACAAGUGGCAAUGAUUCAUCUUCUUCUUCUUCCACUCGGCAGCAGAAUCAGGGUGAUGGAGUUGCUUUUCGCGGAAAAAGUUAUCGCUUAAAUGGAUGAUAUUGUAUAUCAUAUGAUGUUUUAAAAACAAUGCUGAAACUGGACGGUUUAAUCGGUUAAACUGUAUAUGAAUGGUGUAACUUGAUUCGAGUUUCGUCUCGUUGGCUCGAUGUCUGAUUUAGCUUUAAAGUAGGUUUAUGGUUUUAUACUAGUUAGUAUGUUACUUUAUGUACUCAAGACCAUAAAUAACAUAUGCUAUAGAGAACCAUUUCAUGAAUAGAAGAUGAUGCAUAGCCAGAAGCAGUUUUCUUAAAUAAACCCUCAACACACAACCGUGCAUAUUUCCUACGUUGUUGCAUCAAAAUGUUCUUAUCAACUUUAACGUUUGUACCAAUUCUAUUACCAAUAAAAGUUAAGACUUUCGAAUAUAAAUAUUAUAUUGGCAAUCUAGAAAUUAAAACUCAAAUAUGAGUUUUCUCUAUAGUAUCACUUGCCGAAUAAAAAAAAAUUGCGCCUUAACAAUUAGGUAGUGAUCAUAGAUAAACUAAGUUCAUCCAUGAUCACAACAUUAUGAUCUUCAUUAUGGGAGAAGAUAACUAGAUAGUAAUCAUUGUUCAAAUCAAGAUAGGGUGAACUCUGGACACACAUAUCUUCCUUCAACAUGUUCUUCCACCUUCAUGUCUUUCAUAUGAAGGAGAAUUGCGAUCCAAAACGCAUCGGAAAUUAAAAUUUUCUCCUUUAGAAAUCCUUACGAAUGGUCAUGAUCAGUGAUAGAAUAUUUACCUCUUGUGACGAUUGAAACCUUUCGUGCAGAUCUCGUGUGACGAUCAAAACCUUUGAUGCAGAUCCACGGAGCGAUCACGAACGUUGAACGAUGACAACGUCUCUACUCAGUCCACACGAACGGGUUCCUUCAAUCUCAGUGCUAGCUGUUGCGAAUGAAGGUUUUGAGUGUGUGAGAGAGAGAGAGAGAGAGAGAGAGAGAGAGAGAGAGAGAGAGACAGACAGAAAACGAAAAUAAUGCAACCGCAAUGAAUGCUUCUGCACAAGGGUUCUAUUUAUAGAACCACUUGUGUGGGCUUCAAGCUAAAAAGCCCACUUAAGUGUAUUUUGGCCCAUAUCUUAUAAUAUGCCCAAAAUCCACUUCAACCCAUGGUACCUUAACAUAUUUCGUAUUCUACUCAAGUACACCGUACCUACGAUGUUCUAUAAUUCACUUAAGGGCACCGUACCUUACGUAUUCCUUAAGUUACUCUAUCUCUCAUCAAUCCGUCCUUUGUGUGUGACCCUGUAGGUUUUCGUGACGUUGGCAAUUAUAUUAAAUCACACAUUUAACAUAAUAAACAGUGAGCGGUAUCUAGCAACACAUCACUGCUACCAAGACACGAAAAUGUCAUGUGAUCUGACAAACCUUCUGUGAUAAUACUUAUGUGUAUAAUACCCUUUUGCCCUUAUGUCUAUAUUGAACACAAGGCAUAGACCGUGUCAUCCUUGUCCAGUUCAAUAUUGGGCCCAUAGACAUUUAUCCUGUUAUGCAGGAUGGACAAUUUCAUCUAGGUCACUCAUGUCCCUCAACAUGCUUCGUGGAGUAUCCAUCAACUGUCUUUAUGGUUAUCCAGUUACGGACAAUGUUGGAUCAACAAUAAAGCACUCGACUCCACAUCUAGGGUCCAUAGUGGUUUCAGGUCGAAGAGUGGUAAACCCAUUAUCACCAUGAAUAACUUAUGACACUUUGCAUAACUUUCUAUAUAGUAUCUCAUAGCGGGUCAAUCCGGUAUAAAUAUUACUCCUAAUAUUCAUACCUAUGUUUAAGACUUGAUAACUCUUUAUCCAUGAUCCAUGAGAUGUGAUCAUCAGUCUACAAACAUAAUAGUCUUAAUGCUUUAAUUUAAUCCACUCACAACUAAAAGCUCGACUACAGAUACUUUAAGAAUAGUGUCCUUAUGUUUAAUGUGAUCUCAUGAUUAAGUCAUACUUGAUACAUUAAACAGAUUAGCUAUUCUAGGGACUUUAUUAAACAAACGUAAUAAAGAAAAGACCUUUUAUUAUUAAUAAAUAAUUCGAUACAAGUACCAAAAGCAUUGGCCUCUAGGGCUUACACCAACAUCAUAUCCUCCAAAUCAUCCCCCAUUGGUAUUUCUUUUUUUUUCUUUCUGAAUCACUCAUUUCUACUAGUUACAAGUUUUUUAUCCAAAUGAUCAUACCCUUAUAAGAUUUCUCUUGUAUUAGAACAACUUUUUUAGAUGCUUCUUAUGAUAUCCUCUCUUCGGUCACCGUUUUUCCCACCACAAUACUAUAUAGUCUUUGGGGAAGGAAGAUUGUGUUGAGAAUGUUGAAUUUAAGACUUCACAAAUAAGAGGGUGGAGUAAUUUGUGUGGUUUGGAAAAACUUGGAUUUGAAAUAUUUUGAGAAAUAAUAUCAGAGCCUAAAAACUUUUCAAAACCUUAGCAGUGGAAAAAACAAACAGCAUAAGAUAAAUUGUGAAAUUUAAAGGAGUUUAAGGAAAAGAGACGAACACCACAAUGUAUAGAGGUUCGCUCAAAAAACAAAAAGAUCUACUUUUCUCCCAAAGAAUUAAUCAUGAGAGUUUCCAAUAAUAAUUGAGAGUUUAGUAGGAAAGACUCGCGAACCCCCCUAUACAAGAAAAUGAUGGUUGACAUCGAACCAAAUAAUAUAAGACGAUAGAUUUAUCUUGUGCGUCUUCUCUUGAUGAAUUGAAGUUGUUAGUCUUCUUCUCCACAAAUGGUAGAUUGAAGCGGUUAGUCUUCUUUCCACGGGAUGAGCUCACGAACCUUAAUCCUUGAUUUUAUACGGGAUAACCAAUAACCUAUGAGAUUUUAUAUCGGGUUGAUCUCAAACCUCCCAAACUUUUAUACGGGCUGAACUUUGAUGAAAGCUUUUAUACGAGAUGAACUUUCGAACCUAAUCUUGAUUUUAUACGUGCUGACCAAGAACCUAAGAUAUUUUAUAUCAGGUUAAUCUCGAACAUAAGUCGGAACUAAAUCACAUAAUCUCAACCCAAAGUUUUUAACGAGUUUACCUUCUAACCAAAAUAAAUUCCUAAUUGGACAGUAUUCAACCAAGGUGUAUACAAGAUAUUUCCUUGGUGAAUUUACAGUUCUAUCCUUUUCAGAAUAACAAUUAUCUUCUCACUCACAAAAGGACUUUUCUCACAAAAGCACUUAGGCGAAAACAUUAGUGAGAGAAAGUUAAACAAAACUUUAGAGAGAGAUGAAGAGUGAGAAAGGUGUGUCAAACAGGAUUCUGAAUGUUAUGAAAUGAGAAAAAGAACCUCUAUUUAUAGGCCAGAGGUAGUCUCAAAAAGGAAUUUUCAAUAAAUACAUUUUAUCACUUUCCAAUCGAUUGGCAUGUUUUCACAAUCAAUUCGAAGCUUGAAAUACAAGCGAUUGUAAGUUUAAAUAUAGGAAAGAAAGGAUAUUUAGCCAUUGCACAUUAUGAAGGCGAUGUCCCAAUUACUUGCGGUUCAAUUUCGAACUAAUUCAAUUGAUUUGGAAAAUGCUUCAAUCGAUUGGAGAAGUCAAAAUUCCUCCUAUAGCUAGUUUGACAAUUCCUAAUUCAUCUGACAUAACUUCAAGAAAUUUUUAAGGAUAUUUUUUUCGGUAAAAACUAAUUUGAAAAAUAUUUUUGUGUUUGUGCUUUUCGCCAUGCGCUUUUACGAUAAAUCCCUUUUACUUUACAAUUCAUUCACUCACUACUAAAAUAGAAGGUAUCAUACUACUUCAAGACUUUUCCAUAUGAUUUCUCUUAUGUGAGCACUUGCAUGAGUAGCUUGAAGGGAGUUGGAAUAGUGAAUGUAUGAUUUAAUAGGAGUGAAUGGGAAAGAGAGUCAAAGUUGAAUUCGUUACCUUCAAUAUCAUUUUGAUCAUAAUCUUAUUCUAUGAAAAGUAUGUUGCAAACUUCAGAGAAGUCUUAAAGAGAUAGGGUGAUUGGAUGUUUCUUUACCUCGGAGUUGAUGAUUCCAUCUGUGCAUGAGAUAUUUGCGUAGAACAUUCGUACCAAUUUUGGGUAUCUCUCUUGGGGUUUCUCAAGAAUAAAAUUCUUCAGCUCUGCAGCAGUGAAUGAUUCAAUGAAUGGGCAAUUUUUGAAGAGGUCUUCAUCUAGGUAGUAAGAGGGGAAGAUUUCUUUAAUUGGAGUAGUAAAGAUUGUAGUUGGUUUCUUGAGCUUGAAAUGUGAAAUGUUUGGAGAAAUAUGAGGAUGAAGGUUGAGAAGAAUGGGUUCUCUUUGAGGCAAUGUUGAAGUGAUGAUGAUGAGUGAGCGAUCUAAUAUGUUUCUAAUGUAAUGAAUAAUUUGAAAAAUGAUGUGAUGCGAAGAAUGGGAAGUUACCUAUAUUUAUAGCUUAUGUCUAAUCAAUAUGCCAAUCGAUUAUAAACGAUAAAAAUUAACUUUAUCCAUUGCAAGUGUUUGUUACCAUAAUUAGUCACCCAACUAGUCGUUGUGGUGACCUCCAACUUUCGAAAUUUUGAAUUUUUUAGCGUUCCAAUCGAUGUGUCAAUCAAUUGUUUUGGCCUAACUUAGCAUAUUUUCUUUUGGGCUUUGGGUUUAGUACCACUGUUUGAUUUUUAUUUUCACCUCUUGUAAUGACAUGCCAAAAUGCUUGCUUUGUGGGUUAGAAAAUAAUUUUAUUUAGAUGAGUAAAAAAUUAAAGAUAUUAUUUUAAGGGGUUAAUCAGAUUUUUCUGAUUAUUUCAAUCUUAAAAUAAUUUUACCUCUUUUAUCAAGAAUUCUUGAUAAUUAUUUCCCAUGAGGGAAAAUACCAAAUAGUGUGUCCUCCUCUACACAUAUUUGGAAGUGAGAGUUGGUAAAGUUAUAAAAUGAAUAAAUCCAUUACAAAAAAUUCCAUUCAACUGAUCACUUAUGGAUCAUAUUCUUUCUGAUAUAUUCUCAAAUGAUUUUCUUUGAUCACACCGGUUUGUUAUCAUCGUCCAUCCUUGGAUCAAAGACUUUAUAAAUAUUAUAUACUUUAUAAGUGUAUUGUUUGCUUUGCAUAACUUUCCUCUAAUAAUCGUAAAAGCUUCAAGUUGCAAAUCCUACCUGCAAAACACUUAGGUUUCAUCUUUGGUGCCCAUAUCUUCUUGGGCCCAGAUGCAUUAGAUACAGAAGAUCUAAGGUUGUUAUCUUUAGAUAUUUUUAUUUAUCAAAAUAAAAUGAUUCUAGAUUUCCUAAUCUUUUGCAGUGAAUGCAUUUAUAUACGGAAUGUUUCUCUCCCUUUAAAUCCUUGAAUAUUGUAAAGAGAAUCUCUUACUAGAUAAUAUUGGGUCAAACUUCUUUUUCCCUUUUGUAAAUUUUCCUAUAGUUUCUCAUGAUAUAGCACUUUCUUUUUUUAAUUUUUUUUAACAUAAAAAGUUGAGCAUAAGAGGGUCUGAUACCUGAAAUAGUAUCUUCCUCAUAGGGUGUUAUUGGACGAAUUUCAUCUUAUUUGUUGAAAGAAGAUUCUUUUAUAUUUCUCCAUGAGGUUGAUGUGUAUCCUCCUCUUCUUCAUUUGAAUGUUGAAGAAACUUAAUUAUCUUGUUUAUUCUUUGAACAAAAAGAUCCUUCAUUUGAAUAUUUCGAAGAUCGUUCAACUACUGAGUAUGUUUUUUCGAAGGACUGCAUAGGAGUUGUAUGAUAGGAGUAAGAUGAUGAUGAUGAUUCUUCAGUUUAGAUUUCUUCAUCUUUAAGUAGUUGAACUGGUUUUUUCAACUAUUCCUUCUUUCUUGAUUCUACUUGAAAUUCAUGAAGGCUCUCAUCUAUUGAUUUAAGAGUUGGAAAAAAUGUUACAAUUUCUUAAUUGUUAGAUUUUUGUUAGAGAUACAGUUUCCAACAAAAAAAUUAAUAUUUCUAAAUAUAGAAAAACAUCCAUGGAUAGUAUCUAUAUAUUCUUUGUCUCGUGUGUUCAUCUUCUCUCGUUCGAUACUUGGAGAACCUUCAUAUAUCACAUCAAGAGUAUCUCAUAUUUCCUUGGCGGUUUUACAAUGACGAACAUCAUGAAGUUUGAAGUCAUCUAGAGAUAUUAUUAUAAAGUUAUUUGAUUUAAGAUCUAUCUUUAUCUUUAUCUUUUCCUCUUUCAUCCAAAGGGAAUAAGGUUUAUCUACUGCUGCAUCAUUUACUUGAUGAGUAGGAUAGAUUGGACCAUUCACUUUUGUUUUUCAUAAACUAUGGUUUAAAUUUUGAAAAGAUUUUAAGCUUGGAUUGCCAUAUAUUAAAUAUGAUAUUAUCAAAAAGUGGUGGUGUAUUUUGAAAAAGAUCUCUUUUCGGAAGUAAUCUUUCUCCUGAGAAGAUUAGUCCUUAAAUAGGAGUUAGACUCAGAUACCACUUACUGGACUUGAGACUUCACACAAGGGGAGGGGGGAUUGUGUGGUUUGAAAAAAACAUGCUUUUGAAAUACUUCGGGAAAUAAAAUUAGAGUUUUAAAACAUUUUCAAAACCUUAGUAGUGGAAAAAAUAAACAACAGAAAAUAAAUUGCAGAAUUUAAGGGGAAUAGAUGAACACCGUAAUGUAUAGAUAUUCUGUAAAAAAAAAACAUACUUCUCAGCCCAAGAAUUGAUCUUUAAAUUUUCCAAUAAUAAUUAAGAUUUUUUAGUAGGAAAUACUCAUGGACUUCCUUAUAUAAGGAAAUGAUGGUAGACCUCCAACCAAAUAAUACAAGACGAUAUAUUGUUCUUGUGCAUCUUCUCUUGGGGAAUUGAAGUUGUUAGUCUUCAUCUCCACAAAUUGUAGAUUGAAGCGGUAGUUUCUUUUCAACGAAGUUUGUAAGAUUUUAGACGGACUGAGCUCACGAACCUUAAUCAUUAUUUUUAUACGGGAUAACCAAUAAGUUGUGAGAUUUUAUAUCGCCCUGAUCGUGAACCUUCCAAGCUUUUAUAUCGGUUGAGCUUGAACCUGAUGAAAGCUUUUAUAUGGGAUGAAAUUUUAAACCUAGUCUUGGUUUUGUAUGAGUUGACCAAGAACCUAUGAUAUUUUAUAUCGGGUUAAUCUCAAACCUAAGUUGGAAUUGAAUCACACAAUCCAAACUCAAAGCUUUUAACGGAUUUAGAUUCUAACCCAAAUAAAUUUCUAAUUGGACAAUAUUCAACCAAUGUUCAUACAAGAUACUCCCUUUUUGAAUUUACAAUUCUACCAUUUCCAAAAUUAUAAUUAUCUUCUAACGUACAACAUGACUUUUCUUACAAAAACAUUUAGGCUAGGACAUUAGUGGGAAGAGGGGGGGCGGGGGGGGGGGGGGUAUCAAAACACGCUUCUGGAUGUUUUGAAAUGAGAAAAGGAACCUCUAUUUAUAAGUCACUACAAGAAUACUUUGUGCAGCCACGUGAUUUAGUGACGUGAAAUGCACGUGGCAAAAAAUGCCAAUUACGACGUGAAUUUCACGUGGCUAAAAGAAAAAUAUAAUAAAAAAAUGGAAUGACAACUUUUCAGGUGGGGGGAAAUGAAAAUAAUUAAAAUUGGUAGUGACAUGCAGAUCACGUCGCUAUUUUAAAUUUAAAAUUCAAAUAAUGUUUGUGAAAUGUAAUUCACGUCGCAACUAGUGACGUGCCUGUACGUGGUCAGUGGGUACAGAUGACCGUUGAAGGCUUUGUGGCGUGUAAAUCACGUCGCAAAUAGCGACGUGCUGAUCACGUGGGUACAUGUGACCGUUGAAUGGUUUGUGGCGUGUAAAUCACGUCGCAAAUAGCGACGUGUUACCACGUGGGAACAUUUCCUUUACCUUCCCUCUUCUCUCCCUCUUCCCUUCACCGUUUCAUUCUUCUUCUUCUUCGUUUCCUCUUCCCUUCCACCUUCUGCAGACCCAUUUCUCUCCCUAAACCCAUUUUCCCCUUCAACCCAUUUCUCUCCUUCAAGCUUCAAGAACUUCAAAUCCAUUUCUCUCCUUAAAGGUAAAUACUUUUAUUAUUUUCUAAACCCAUUUCUGUUUAAUAUAAUGAAUUUUAUUUUAAUUUAUGUAUUUUUUUUAAGAAAUAGCUAAGAGUGAAUUAUUCAUUCAAGAAUUUGGAGCAAACAGAUUCAAAGUCUUCAUCAAGGUAUAUUCAAAAUUGUGAAAUUUAAUUUUUUUUUUUAAUUAUUUUCAGAUUAGUUAAAUGUAUUGAGUUUGGACUGGAUUAUGUGUUGUACUUAUUAUGUAUUAAAAUCGAAUUUGUUUGGACUGGAUUUUGUUUUGUGCACAUUAUGUAUUAAAAUAGAAUUUUUUUAGAAAUUUAAGUAUUAUAUAUUUAGAAUUUGUUUAGAAUUUGUUUAUAAAACAUAUACCCUAAUGUAUUAUUAAAACAGAAUUUGUUUAGAAUUGUUUAGAAAUAUAAUAUAUAAUAGUUUUAAAAAACAGAAUAUUUAAUGUAUUAUAUAUUUAAUGUAUUAUACAAAAAAAACAGAAUAUUUUAUGUAUUAAAUUUUUAUAGUUUAGAAAUAGAUUUUAAUAAUAUAUAUUAAUACCAAUACUAUCCUCUCUAUUAAUACCCUAUUUAUAAAAUCAUUUUUAAUUAUUUUCUAGAGAAAUUAUAAAUUUCAAAAGAAAUCAUGUCAAGCUUGGAAUAUUAAAACUUUGAUAUUACUUUGUUUAGAAACUAUUUAAUGCUUUAUAUAUGUGCACAUUAUAUUUUUUAGAAAUAUAAUAUAUAAUUUUUUUAAACAAAAUAUUAAAACAGAAUAUAUUUAUAAAAAAAACGAAAAUUUUGUUUAUUAGAAAAAGUAUAUGAUCAUGUCUAAAAAUAGAAGUUGUAUUAUUAUUUAGAUAAUAUGGUUAGUUUAAAAAUAUAAUAGAUUAGUGUUUUGAGUAAAAUUGAUAAGUGUGUAUAUAUAUUAUUUAGAUAACUAAAUAAAUAAGUUGUAUUAUAAUUAUGUUUAAAUAAUGUAUAAAAAACAAAACAUAUUCAUAUAUUAGGGUAUAUGUCUAAAUGUUUUUUUUAAAUAAACACAUAUUAGGGUAUAUGUUUUAAAUAUAUGUUAGUUUAAACAAUAAAGUAUGUAAUAGUUAUAUUAUAUAUUUAUUAAUAGUAUAAUAUAAUUUUUUUAAAUUGUACGUAAUAUUAGUUGGAUGUACGAUAGAACGAUUAGAUAAAUGGACGAUAGAGGAAUAUCACUUUGAAAUUAAAAUAGUAACGAUUUUGUAAAUGGCAGUAUGGAAUAUUUUCAUUACUAUCGUGAGUUGGAUGUACGAUAACGUAUCCAGGAAGACGUGGACUUAAACGAACUUUGAGGAAGGAGUUAAAGGGUUUAUCACAUGGGCUUUCGCUCAAGAAUGUUGUCUAAGCGAAGGAGGAGUAAGAUGUCCUUGUCUAAAAUGUGAAUGUAGACCUAUAAUUAGUGACCGGAGAAGUAGAACGUCAUUUGAAGAGAAGGGGUUUCAUUAAAAAUUACUGGGUUUGGACAUAUAAUGGAGAACAGUUGCCGAGUAAUGUACAAAGGCUACGACUACACAUGCUUCUAGCAGUCGAUCACUAUGGAACACCGGGAAGAAUUUAGUUUGAUCAGUGACAUGGUUGGCGAUGCUUUUGGGGUUAACGUGACUAUGAUAACUCAAGACUUCGAUCAGGAAGAGUUGCCGAAUGAGGAAGCUCAAAAAUUUUAUCAAUGUUGCCAGAAAUGAAUACGCCGUUGUUUGAAGGGUCGGUCAGACUCAAAAUUAUCGAUGUGUGUGAGAUUAUUGGCCGCCAAGUCCAAUUGGAAUGUUCCUGACCAGUGUUUGGAAUUCUUUGCAAAUGAGUGUUGGACGCAACUCCUACGAAGACAACCUUCCCACAGAUUUUUAUGAUGCAAAGAGUUGGUGUCGAAAUUGGGUUUAGGGUAAGAAAGAUUGACUGUUGCACUAAUGGUUGCAUGUUGUUUUUCGAUAAUGAGUUUGUACUAAUGAUGGAUCGUUGGAGGAAUGUAAGUUUUGUAAGAGUCCGAGAUACAAAGUUCGCAGUAAAGCCAUUAACCGUAAGCAAACAUGUGGCAGUGAAGUCCAUGUUUUAUCUGCGAUCAUACCAAGGUUAAAAGAAUGUUUGCUUCAAUGCAUAGUGCAAGUCAAAUGACAUGGCAUCAUACAAACCAAACAAGUUCGGCACAAUGCGACAUCCAUCUGAUGGUGCGCAUGGAAGCACUUCGAUAUGAUACAUCCUGAUUUUGCCAGCAGAACCUAGAAAUGUCAGACUGGACUAUGCUCUGAUGGUUUUACUCCAUAUGUCCAGCGUCUGGAAGUGGAUAUUCUUGUUGGCCAGUUAUUGUUACCCCUUACAACCUCCCUCCUGAGAUGUGCAUGACAAAACAUACAUGUUUUGACUGCCUCAUUCCAGGUCAAAGAGUCCAAAAGCUGGAAUAGAUGUGUAUUUACAACCUUUAAUUGAUGAUUUGAAGAGGUUAUGGAUUGGAGAAUGGACUAUGAUAUAUCUUGCAAACAAAACUUUACUAUGCGAGCAGCCUUGAUGUGGACUAUAAACGACUUUCCCGCAUAUGGCAUGUUGUCCGGUUGGGGACACAUGGAAAAAUGGGAUGCCCGCAUUGCAUGGAACACUCUCAUGCGUUCACGUUGGAAAAAGGGGGAAAAGUUCGUGUUUGACUGUCACCGCAGAUUCCUACCGAAAGAUCAUGUCUUUCGAAUAAAUAAGAAUGACUUCAAAAAGGCAUAAGAGUAACAGACUUGCCUCCCUCGUUUCUCACCCGGUGAAGUAUGGAACCGGUUAGUGAACUGCCAAAAUUCACAGAUUAUGGUAAAGCUUGCAGAUUGAAGAUAUGGGGUACACAUAACUGGACAAAAAGAAGUAUUUUUUGGGAUCUCCCGUAUUGGAAAGAUAUUUGUUGCGACAUAAUCUUGAUGUUAUGCAUAUUGAGAAGAAUUUUUGAUAACGUGUUUAACACAGUGAUGGAUGUUUCAAGGUAAAACAAAGGAUAAUGAGAAGGCUAGAAAGGACAUGGAGAUUUUGUGUUGUAAUCGAAAGAGUUGCGAGUUGAAGGUUAAACCGAAUGGGAAGUUACUAAAACCCAAGGUAAUUACAGUCUAACUUCGAAGAAGCUAAAGCGAUUUGUGUACUGUGUAAUGUUACUUAAUGUACUGUGUAAUGUUACUUAAUGUAGGAUGUAUUACAUGUGUUUAUUGAUUGUAGAUAAAAUGCCGCCCCGAACGAUAGGGUAAGGGUCAGCAGCGCGAGGAUAAGGGUAUGUGAGGCUCCUCAGUCGGCCGUAUGUCCUCCCCCACAGAGUCAGGUAGAGCCCAUGUCUACGACCUCUCAACAUUUUAUGCCACUGCAGUCAUCUAUGGGGUAUCCUCCCCCACAGACUCAGGUAGAUCCCAUGACCAUGGUUCACAGCCUUUUCUCUCCCUACUAUAUCCCAUGGUUAUCCUAUGGCCCAACUUGGAACCCAUCUUUAUUAGCCCAUCUGGGAACCCAUCAUUUAUUAGCCCAUCUGGGAACCCAUCUUUAUUAGCCCAUCUGGGACUUCAUCAUACAUCAGACUGGGGGAUCUAGUUUUCCUCAUCCCUCACAAGGUACCCCACCCUUCAUGCAGUCUGGGAUCUUUCCAGAUCCACACAGGGUACUCUGUCGUCCCAGCAUCCCAAACACACCAUCAUCAUCCACGCAUCAUGGGGGAUCUCGCACCCCACACCCACCACGUGCCACAGAUAUACCCGUGCCUGAGGAGCAGGAGGAGCAGGAUGACCAGGAGCCAGCAGGAUGACCAUGUUUUAGAGCAACCAACUGCAAAUCCCACAGAGUAUGAGAUGAUUGAUGGCAGAUAUUUUAUUGAGCCAUGUGAAAAUCGUAAGUAUCUAAUUUUUAAAUUUUAUUUAGUAUACAUGUUUCCAUGUUCCAUGUUAUAAUUAACACUUAUUCAAAUUGUUGUUUAGUUUCUCUCCGAGUAGGCCAGCUGCACAGUUGUAAACAUGUGAUUCAACAAAUGUAUAAAAAAGCUUGGAAGCAUUCAAAGAACUUUCCAAGGAUGAGAAAGAUGAAUGGUUUGAUAAAUUUAAGGUAAAAUAAAUUUUAUUGUUGUUAUUUUAAUUAGUUAUUUUAUUGUAAUAUAUUAUCUAACACUUAUCUAACAAUUUUUUUGAAUGUCAUACAACAUUGUAGGAAAAGUGUACGUGGAAUUGUAAUGGAUGAAUAUAUGUUAGAAAAAUUAUCGGGGAAACAUCUGUCGACUUUCUGACAUGCUUAGGCUGUCAGACUUGAUUGGCAAGAACGAAAUAUUCGUCCCAACUGGAUAGGCAAGGAAGUAUUUGACGAACUUCUUGCCUAUUGGGCUUACGAUAAUUUAAAGCUAAAUCUCAAAAAGGCAAAAGACAUGAGAGCAUCCGAAAGGGGGGUUGCCUUAAUGCUACAGGAAUGUAUAAGCAUUGGAGAACAUGCAAAACGAAUGGUAAAAAUUAUAACUACGGUUUAAAAUUAUAUUUUGAUUUAUUAUGUGUUUAAUUAAAUUUAUUUAUAUUAAUCAGACACAGGCACAAGGAAGACCCCCGACUUAAUGAGUUGUUUGUGAAGACCCGCUACAAAAAAAUCGGGGGAUUUGGUUGAUGAUCGGUCAGAGAAGAACUAUAGUAAGUUGUUUCUAUUUUAUUUUUUUUGUUAAAAUUCUAUCAAUUUUUGUGCGCGUGAAUUUCACGUGGGUAAUAAGUUUUGGCAUGAAUUUCAUGUGGCAACAAUAUAUGUGGGAUUCUUUUCAUGUCACAACUGUAUCUAAUUAUUUAUUUGUUGUUAUGUGUAGGAGAGUAUCAAAGAUUGCUCACACAAUUUCUAGUUGAAAAUCCUCAAUAUACACCUGUUGGUUCUAAUCCGCUUGAUUCCACGCGUGGAUAUGUAUAUCUGGAGCUUAGUCACUGGAGGGAAGGGACGUAAUGGUGUUUUUUUGGUGUUGUCCUUUGGCUGGCAACUACAGAACCGGAGAUGAACUUAUUUGAUAGAGUUGCAAGUGGGGAAGGAACGUCCGUCCAACACAAUUGACACUGAAAUGAUGGAAACGGUGAGGCAACUGGCUCUAACAGAGGCUAGACGAGGAGACGGCGAGCGUGAGGCGCGUUAAGGCAUUAGAGGAAAUGAAAAGACAACACGAUUUGGAGGAGCAAAUGAGACAAUUUAUGCAGUCAUGAGUGAAAUCAAAAUCAAGAACAAGUGAAGCGAUGUAGAUGACGACGAAUUGAUGUGUAUAUUUAUUUAGUUUUAAAUAUUAAUUUUGUAUAAAUAAUUAACUUUUGCUAUUUUUAUAAUACAUUUCAUAUGUGUAAUUUUAAUUUAAAAAUAUUUCACUUAAUUAUUAUUUCUAUAUUUUAUUAUUUAUUAAUUAUUUUAUCUUUUAUUAAUAAUAUAAUUUAAUAAUAACAAUAUAUUUAUCUUAUUAUUAAUUUUGUUUUUAAGUUGUGAAGUUGUAAAUCACGUGGUAAUUUGCCACGUGAUUUUCAUUUGGCAAACAAUACAUCCAUUUCAAAUGUUGUGACGUGAUAUUUCAUGUGGCAAAGUCUGGUCAUUGAAUUUCACGCGGCAAAGUAAGCGCAGAAGGAAGGUAAAUUUCAAAAUUUGCGACGUGAUUGGCCUUUGCAAAUUAGCGACGUGUUUAUCACUGUCACAAAAAGUUGCCACACGCGUUCCAGCGACGUGAAUCAACACGUCGCUAUUUUUGACUAGUGAAGUGAUUUUCACCUUUGCCACGUGAUAAUCAUGUGGCAGGGGGGAGUUUUUCUUGUAGUGAGUCAGAGGUUGGCUCAAAAAGGAAUUUUCAAUAAAUGCAUUUUAUUAUUUUUCAAUCAAGUGACAAGUUUUUACAAUCAAUUGAAAACUUGAAAUACAAUCGAUUUUAAGUUUAAAAAUAGGAAAGAAAAUAUAUUUAUUUGUUGCACAUUAUAAAGGUGUUGUCCCAAUCGUAUGUGGCUCAAUUUUCAACUAAUCUAAUCUAUUGGGAAAAUGCUCCAAAUGCUCCAAUCGAUUGGAGAAGUCAAAAUUUUGCCUAUAGCUAUUUUGACAACUCCUAAUUCAUCUAGAACAACUUUAAAAAAAUUUAAGGAUAUUUUCUUUAGUAAAAACUAUUUUGAAAAAUAUUUGUGUGUGUAUGUGCGCUUUUAGAUAUGCGUUUUUACGAUAAAACUUUUUUGCUUUACAAUUCAUUCAAUCACUACUAAAAUAAAAGGUAUCAUACUACUUCAAGACUUUGCCUAAACUUUCUCUUAUGUGAGCAUUUGCAUAAGUUGUGAGAUGAAACUUUAACUUAUACUCCAUUUAGAUUGUCUUCAUCGAAUAAUCAAGUCCAUCAAACCUUAGGUUUUCUUCUUUAUCCACUUAUCCAUCCAUGCCUGGUUAGCCUACAUAAAAGCCUAUUUAUUUUAAACAUAUGUAAAUAGGUCAUUCAAAUAAUGUUUAAAUAGACUAACAAACUAAAAGACCAAUGAGACUAAAUGUUUGCAUUGACUUAUAACUUACAUAUUAUCAUAAGUUUUGUGAGACUAUUUAUUUAAGAGAACUUAUGAAAAUAACUUAUGACAAUGUUCAUAAGGUUUUUCAUCUUAUUUUCAUAAGUUCUCCAAGAUAACCAAAUUUUAUUUAUGUAUUUUAAUUCAAAGUGCAAAACAUAACAUAAUGAUAAUAAAAAAAAUAUUUAUACUAUUUAAAUAGACCGGUUUGAUAGGGUUAAAAGGUUUUUUAUGGUCUGAGAGGCGUAGACAUUUUAACUAAAUAGCCUUAUUAAAAAGCCUAGAGCUUGACGUCCUCUUGUCACUAUUAUAGGCAAAAAAAUAAUAUUAGAUUCAUUGAAUAAUUUGUUAAAUGCAAUUAAAUUUUUGCUAUUACGUGCUAGUUUUCCAAAAAUAACAGAAUUUAAUUGUUGGGUCACUGUAGUUGUAUUUUGAGUUGUAUUUUUUGUUAUUCUCUCAAUGUAUAAAUACUCUUGUAAUAUUUCCAAUUCGAAUUAAUGCCAAAUUUACUAUUCAUCCAAUAUCAUUUUGUUCUCUCUAAUUCUCUCUCAACUUCAUCUUCCCCAAUUUCUUAUCUUCCACCAUUAUCAAACCUUCAAUUUGAGUCUUUAUGUUCUAACAUUUGGCAUCAAGAGCUUUGGUUGUUGAUCCUAAUCCGCAGCAACAAUGGCAACCGUUUCCAAUGUCCGAAUUCCCACCAAUCUCCCGAUUCUUGAUUCGAAGAACUAUGAUAAAUGGGUGAAACAAAUGAAGGUCUUGUUUGGUUAUCAAGAGGUGCUUGAGAUCGUCGUCAAUGGAGUUACACAAUUAGGGGCAGAGGCUACCGAAAUUCAAAGAGCUACACACAAAGAAGAGAAGAAGAAGAAGGAUUACAAAGUCAUAUUCUUGAUUCAUUCGUGUGUUGAUAACGACAACUUCGAGAAGGUCGGCGAUUGUGAAUCGGCAAAGCAAGCAUGGGAAAUCUUGGAGAAAGCAUAUGUCGGUGCCGUCAAAGCGAAGGUUGUAAGGUUACAAACUUACAAGCGACAGUUCGAGUUAACACAAAUGGAAGAUAAAGAAACGAUCAACGACUAUAUUACACGUAUUACCCGGUUAGUUAAUCAAAUCAAAUCUUGUGGGGAAACGAUUCUUAAGAAGAAUGUUGUAUCCAAAGUAUUGCAUUCGUUAACGUCGCGUUUCGACAACUUAGUUGUGGCUAUUGAAGAAUCAAAAGAUCUAACAACUUUGAGCAAGGAUGAAUUGUAAAGUUCGUUAGAGGCACAUGAACAAAGGAUGGAUGAGAGAGGCGCCGACAAAGCCAAAGUGGAGAUUGCUUUGCAAGCGCAUUUCAAUGAAAAGAAUAAGAGGUCGAAAGGAAAAUUUGCGGCGAGAGGUAAAUCAAAUUUUCAGAAUUUUGGUUCAAACGAUUCGCAAAAUUCAAAGCAUUCGACGAGUGAAAAAGGGUGAAAGUAGCUCCAAGGAUAGUGGUCAUAGAAAUGGUUUUAAGAAGCGUGAUAUGAGUAAGGUGCAAUGCUACAAGUGUAGAAAGUUUGGACACUUUGCAAAUUCGUGUCGUGGUAAAUCGAAUGAGAAUCAUAAUAAUGAAGCCAAGGUUGUUAGGGAAGAGGUAGAUGAUGAGGACACACUUCUAGUAAUGAUCACGGAGGAGAGUUAUGGAAAUACGGAUGUUCCGGGCAGCAACUACAGUAGUGACAGUUUGCGGGACAACAACUGUACCGUUCCGGAAAAUAGCGAGAAAACGCAUUCGGAUCGAAGUGCAUUGGUUACCGUUCGUGAUGGAGUCCAAGGGAGAGAUGAGUGGUACUUGGAUUCCGGUUGUUCAACACAUAUGACGGGUCGAAAAGAUUGGUUUGUGCAAAUCAAUCAAGCGGCAAAAAGUAAAGUCAAAUUUGUCGACGACACCACUUUAAGCGCCGAAGGGGUAGGAGAUGUUUUGAUCGGAAAAAGGAAUGGUGGACAUUCAAGGAUCAAAGAUGUCUUGUAUAUACCGGGAAUUAAGUGUAAUCUUUUAAGCAUUGGCCAAUUACUUGAAAGAGGAUACAAAAUUCGUUUGGAGGAUAAGAUUUUACGCGUUUUGGAUUCAAAUGGUGUGUUGAUUCUAAAAGCGCCGAUGGCUGCCAAUAGAACCUUUAAGGUUGAGUUAAAGGUUAUGAGCAUCGUUGUCUAGCUUUUGCGGCAAGUAGAGAUGAGUGGUUAUGGCAUUACCGUCUUGGUCACCUUAAUUUUAGGGAUCUAAGAAUGUUGCAACAAAGUGAAAUGGUAAUGGGGUUGCCACACAUUAAUAUUCCAACUGAAUUGUGUGAGGAAUGUGUGAAAGCUAAACAACACAAGAAUGUGUUUAGCAAAGAUGCGGGUCGAAGAACCAAAGGCUUACUUGAGGUGGUACGUUCCGACGUUUGCGGACCGAUGCAAGUAGAGACUUAUGGUGGAAAUCGAUAUUUUGUUACGUUCAUUGACGAUUUUAGUAGGAAGCUUUGGACAUAUCUUAUCAAGAGAAAAGAUGAGGUAUUUGGUGCGGACCGAUGCAAGUAGAGACUUAUGGUGGAAAUCGAUAUUUUGUUACGUUCAUUGACGAUUUUAGUAGGAAGCUUUGGACAUAUCUUAUCAAGAGAAAAGAUGAGGUAUUUGGAGUUUUCAAGAACUUCAAAUCCAUGGUGGAGCUCUAAAGCGGUCAGAAGCUCAAAAUUCUCAAAACGGGUGGUGGAGGUGAGUAUACCUCUAGUGAGUUUGGGAAGCUUUGUGAUCUUGAGGGAAUUGUACGUGAGGUGGUGCCUCCGUAUACGCCUCAACAAAAUGGGGGUGCCGAGAGGAAAAAUCGUACAAUAAUGAACAUGGUGCAUAGUAUGCUUUGUGGGAAAAUUUUGCCUAAGGAAUUGUGGGGUGAGGUCGUGUCUACAGCCACCUACUUGUUG